UAGGGAAUCUUCGGCAAUGGGGGGAACCCUGACCGAGCAACGCCGCGUGAGUGAAGAAGGUUUUCGGAUCGUAAAGCUCUGUUGUUAAGGAAGAACGAGUGUGAGAAUGGAAAGUUCAUGCUGUGACGGUACUUAACCAGAAAGGGACGGCUAACUACGUGCCAGCAGCCGCGGUAAUACGUAGGUCCCGAGCGUUGUCCGGAUUUAUUGGGCGUAAAGCGAGCGCAGGCGGUUAGAAAAGUCUGAAGUGAAAGGCAGUGGCUCAACCAUUGUAGGCUUUGGAAACUGUUUAACUUGAGUGCAGAAGGGGAGAGUGGAAUUCCAUGUGUAGCAGUGAAAUGCGUAGAUAUAUGGAGGAACACCAGUGGCGAAGGCGACUCUCUGGUCUGUAACUGACGCUGAGGCUCGAAAGCGUGGGUAGCAAACAGG
This 429-nucleotide ribosomal RNA is filed under the name Bacteroidota bacterium. RNAcentral's name for it is "Bacteroidetes bacterium partial 16S ribosomal RNA". It matches the Rfam family "Bacterial small subunit ribosomal RNA", at positions 355 to 776 of the family's 1533-position model. The record is from RNAcentral. Lineage: Bacteria; Pseudomonadati; Bacteroidota.